RNAcentral lists this ribosomal RNA (253 nucleotides) under uncultured bacterium. RNAcentral's name for it is "partial 16S ribosomal RNA". It matches the Rfam family "Bacterial small subunit ribosomal RNA", at positions 524 to 776 of the family's 1533-position model. The record is from RNAcentral.
UACGUAGGGUGCGAGCGUUGUCCGGAAUUACUGGGCGUAAAGAGCUCGUAGGUGGUUUGUCGCGUUGUUCGUGAAAACUCACAGCUCAACUGUGGGCGUGCGGGCGAUACGGGCAGACUGGAGUACUGCAGGGGAGACUGGAAUUCCUGGUGUAGCGGUGAAAUGCGCAGAUAUCAGGAGGAACACCGGUGGCGAAGGCAGUCCCCUGGGCCUGCACUGACGCUCAUGCACGAAAGCGUGGGGAGCAAACAGG